CUUAGCUUUUGCUAGUCCUCGAGCAAAACAAAGAAAUAAAAAAAAAACAAAACCAACAAACAUAACCUAAACCUUCCAACGUUUGCCUCAGGGAUUUCCAAUGCACAUGUCAUGUUAAAGAUUGUCAUUCCCACAGAUUUGAGUCAAUUUAACACUUAAGCACAUACUUAAUCAUAGUCACUACUUACUAGUUCACAAUUAACCAAUUAAAACAAUGUUUUGAAUGUAGUAACAUGCCUUAGAGAAUUCCCUCAAUCCUUACAAGAUAUGCACUCUAUUUUCACUCAGAUUUUCUAACUACACACCCCUAUACUAGUUAUAUGUGAGAGAAUUGAUGUAGAUAUAAAAAACGAAUGCUCACAUAUAUGUAUCACAAAGAACGCAAUUUCCGGAGUUAACAAGCAUGUUUAGAUAUGAUCUCAUGAAUGGAAUGCUACUACUUAGAUGCGAGAACCAGUGACACCAUAUGCUCAUACCAAAUUCAAACUCCACAAAUUGAAACACAUAACACUCAAGAUAGAAGUUAAGGGUUGCAACGGGGCUUGGGGUUUUGGUUAACAAAGAAAGGAUAGGGAAAACAAACGUUCUUCAAGCAUUAGUACGCAAAGUAAUGGAAUUAAGACUUAGAAUUCACUUAGAUUGCAGAAAUUAACUUUAAAACACAAAGGGAAGACUUAGACAACUCCUUAGGGUCGAAUUCAUUGUUUUGGACUCUUACUUCAACAAACAAUACUUUGGAACACUUUUUCACAUCUUUUCAACUCUUUUUUUUUUUUUUUUUUUUUUUUUUUUUUGAAUUGUUAUUAUUAUUAUUAUUAUUAUUUUCUUUCUACCCGUGCCUAUGGCACACAAUUGACAAAAUAAAAACUUCCCCCACACUUGGUUUCUGCCACAAAGGAAUUCAAUUUGAAUCAUGCUUACUAUACUUUAAGAACGAGGGUAUGGAUAGUCCUAAUCUAGGCUAGGUGAGGGUAAUGUGGGUUAACAAAGAAAAGGCUAAACAAGGCUCAAUAGGGUUAACACCUACAAAACAUAAUGACAUAGGGAUUCAUGGCUUUUUGGCUAAGGUGGUGGUCACUACACAACUUUAUCUUGAAUAUGUGUUAUGCUAAUCAAUAACAUGCUUUGAAUGAAAUGGGCAUGAGUUCUAGUGUUUGGAACUAAAUGAUGAAACGCCUUCUAAGUAGCAACCAAGCAAAGAAUAAUGAGAUCAUGUAACGACUUUAGAAAACAAAGAAUGCACAGAUUUUGACUCUCCAAAUAAACGUUUAGGCUAAAGUCUCACAAGGUUGUAGCGUUAAUUUGAGUUCCUUCCUUCAAGCAUGUUACAAAAACUGAUUUUUCCUUUAUGAUUACAUGUGAAUUCAUAAGUUAUAACCACAACCAAGCAUAAACCAAAGGGUAAAUCAAACUUUUAUCCAUGUUUAUAAAUUUCUUUAACCGUCAUGCAAUUACAAACCGAAUCCUCAUCAUUGUGUUGGAAGGUACCCUAAGACACAAACAAACACACAAAAACAACUCUUUUUGGGUUUUUAAAACAAAUUUUCAAAUUUUUAUGGGAUUUUCAGAUUUUUUUACUUAAAACACACUAAAACACACCAAAACAGCUUAAAAAGGCUUAAAAACAGUGAAAAACAACAUUAGAAAUUAUGAGUGAGAAAACCCUACGAAUUUGCAUCAAAACACUUUGGUUACCCCCCCACACUUAAAUCAAACAUUGUCCUCAAUGUUUCAAGCAUAGACUAACACAAAUAACAAACAAACAAACAAAACAGCAACUAAGCAAUUUAACAUGGCAUAAAUGAAAACAACAACAAAGAGAAGGGUUUAGGAACGCAAAUCUGGAAUUGGAGUGUUCUCUAUGUCCUCCUUUGUUGAAUGCAUGGGUUGCCUCCCAAGUAGCGCUUGCUUUAACGUCGUACAGCCGGACGAAGACCUCAUUCACUCCUUACUAGGGCCCACGGCAUUCAAGGGUAUGUCAUCCACGGCAUGCUCCACAAAGGUGUCAUAAUAGGGCUUCAAACGAUGCCCGUUCACCUUGAAUUCUUGUCCCGUUUUCAAGCUUUGGAUUUGGACUGCACCAUGAACAAAAACAUUAGUAAUAACAAACGGUCCAAUC
Molecule: long non-coding RNA, 2119 nt
Filed under: Malus domestica (apple)
Lineage: Eukaryota; Viridiplantae; Streptophyta; Magnoliopsida; Rosales; Rosaceae
Description: long non-coding RNA (MDOM_LNC008462)
Source: RNAcentral